Molecule: ribosomal RNA, 2874 nt
Organism: Succinatimonas hippei YIT 12066
Lineage: Bacteria; Pseudomonadati; Pseudomonadota; Gammaproteobacteria; Aeromonadales; Succinivibrionaceae
Rfam family: Bacterial large subunit ribosomal RNA
Source: Rfam
GGUCAAGAAGAAAGCGCACAUGGCGGAUGCCAUGGCGCCGGGAGGCGAAGAAGGACGUGCCAAUCUGCGAAAAGCCGCGGUAAGCCGAUAAGGGGCGUUAAGCCGCGGAUGUCCGAAUGGGGGAACCCGACAUAGGCAACUAUGUCAUCAUGCUGCAAGGCAUGAAGCGAACCGGGGGAAGUGAAACAUCUCAGUACCCCGAGGAAAAGAAAUCAACCGAGAUUUCCCAAGUAGCGGCGAGCGAACGGGAAGGAGCCCAAAAGUCAGCUGUGUUUUAGCGGAAUCACGUGGGAAAGUGAAGCGCAGAGGGUGAGACUCCCGUACGCGAAGGGGCACAGGAGAUGAGAGAGAGUAGGGCGGGACACGAGGAAUCCUGUCUGAAGAGGGGGGACCAUCCUCCAAGGCUAAAUACUACCCGGCGACCGAUAGUGAACCAGUACCGUGAGGGAAAGGCGAAAAGAACCCCGGGAGGGGAGUGAAAUAGAACCUGAAACCGUGUGCGUACAAGCAGUGGGAGCAUGAUGCAAGUCAUGUGACUGCGUACCUUUUGUAUAAUGGGUCAGCGAGUUGUCCGUAUUAGCGAGGUUAACCUAGAUGGGGGAGCCGCAGGGAAACCGAGUCAUAACCGGCGAGGAGUUGAUACGGGCAGACCCGAAACCGAGUGAUCUAGUCCGGGACAGGCUGAAAGCAGGGUAACACCUGCCGGAGGGCCGAACCCACUGACGUUGCAAAGUCAGGGGAUGAUUUCGGACUAGGGGUGAAAGGCCAAUCAAACCCGGUGAUAGCUGGUUCUCCCCGAAAGCUAUUUAGGUAGCGUCCCGUGGUGACGGACGGGGGUAGAGCACUGUAACGCCGAGGGUUGCGUCAAGUGAUACCGAGGCGUAGCAAACUGCGAAUACCGUCCAGUUGAAAGCGGGGGACACACGGUGGGUGCUAACGUUCAUCGUGGAGAGGGAAACAACCCGGACCGCCGGCUAAGGUCCCGAAGUUCAGAUUAAGUGGGAAACGAUGUGGGAAGGCAUAGACAGCCAGGAUGUUGGCUUAGAAGCAGCCAUCAUUUAAAGAAAGCGUAAUAGCUCACUGGUCGAGUCGGCCUGCGCGGAAGAUGUAACGGGGCUAAAAUCUGACACCGAAGCCGCGGAUUUGCAUUUAGGUGCAAGUGGUAGGGGAGCGUUCUGCAAGCCGGAGAAGGCAAGCUGAGAGGCUUGCUGGAGGGAGCAGAAGUGCGAAUGCUGACGCAAGUAACGAUAAAACGGGUGAAAAGCCCGUUCGCCGGAAGACCAAGGGUUCCUGUCCAACGUUAAUCGGGGCAGGGUGAGUCGGUGCCUAAGGCGAGGCUGAAAAGCGCAGUCGAAGGGAAACGGGUUAAUAUUCCCGUACCGGAUAAUAUUGCGAUGAGGUGACGGAGAAGGUAAGGCAGGCCGGAGAGCGGAAGUUCCGGUGAAAGGCGGUAGGGAAUCGCGGGGGUUAAAAGACCUGCGGUGAUGAACUGAGAGCCGAGAGGAGCAAACUACGGUUUGUGAAGCUGCUAGGUCCAGGCUUCCAGGAAAAGCCUCUAAGCUUAGAUAUUAUGCGGCCGUACCCCAAACCGACACAGGUGGUCGGGUAGAGGAUACCAAGGCGCUUGGGAGAACCCGGGUGAAGGAACUAGGCAAAAAUGUACCGUAACUUCGGGAGAAGGUACGCUGUCGGGUGUGAAAUCCGCACGGAGGGAGCACUUGACAGCCGCAGCUAAAUGGCGGCUGGGACUGUUUAACAAAAACACAGCACUCUGCGAACCUGAAAGGGGAAGUAUAGGGUGUGACACCUGCCCGGUGCCGGAAGGUUAAAUGAUGGGGUCAGGCGCAAGCUGAAGCCCUUGAGUGAAGCCCCGGUAAACGGCGGCCGUAACUAUAACGGUCCUAAGGUAGCGAAAUUCCUUGUCGGGCAAGUUCCGACCUGCACGAAUGGUGUAACCAUGGCCGCGCUGUCUCCACCCGGGACCCAGUGAAACCGAAAUCGCUGUGAAGAUGCAGUGUACCCGCGGCUAGACGGAAAGACCCCGUGAACCUUUACUGCAGCUUGACACUGAACCUUGAACCUGUUUGCGCAGGAUAGGCGGGAGACACUGAAGUCGGAGCUCAGGCUCUGAUGGAGUCGCCCUUGAAAUACCGCCCUGACAGUUUUGAGGUUCUAACCUAAGGCUUAAAUGACAUGGGACAGUGUCUGGCGGGAAGUUUGACUGGGGCGGUCUCCUCCCAAAGGGUAACGGAGGAGCACGAAGGUCGGCUGGUUACGGUCGGAAACCGUGAUGACAGUGCAAUGGCAAAAGCCGGCUUAACUGCGAGACCGACAAGUCGAACAGAUACGAAAGUAGGUCAUAGUGAUCCGGUGGUUCCAAAUGGACGGGCCAUCGCUCAACGGAUAAAAGGUACUCUGGGGAUAACAGGCUGAUACCGCCCAAGAGUUCAUAUCGACGGCGGUGUUUGGCACCUCGAUGUCGGCUCAUCACAUCCUGGGGCUGAAGUUGGUCCCAAGGGUAUGGCUGUUCGCCAUUUAAAGUGGUACGCGAGCUGGGUUCAAAACGUCGUGAGACAGUUUGGUCCCUAUCUACCGCGGGCGUAGGAUGAUUGAGGGGGAUUGCUCCUAGUACGAGAGGACCGGAGUGAACGGACCGCUGGUUUACGGGUUGUCAUGCCAAUGGCACGGCCCGGCAGCCAAGUCCGGGACUGAUAACCGCUGAAAGCAUCUAAGCGGGAAGCAGGCCCCGAGAUGAGUCAUCCCGAGUGCAAGCUCCGAAAGGGCCGUUUAAGACGAAGACGUAGAUAGGCCGGAGGUGGAAGCUCUGUGAGGAGUGAAGCUAGCCGGUACUAAUGACCCGCGAGGCUUGGCCGU